CGGUGUGCGACAUGUCGCAUGUGAAAUAUUUGAUAGAAGUGCCUCACGUCCAAGUCAAGCCGCCGUACGGGUGUAUGGCUGUGUGCCCCGUUCUCGGAAGCGUCGACGGGCUUCCGGCAUGCGGAUUUCAGAGUUUGGACUCGACUUUUGGUGAGGAUGUCGAUCGACCUUGGGCCUGGUGACAGCACACCCGACAUGGCCAAAGUGCAGCCUAUCAGUUGAGUGCCCCCGAAUGGACCAUCAGCAUCGGAAAAUGAAGCAGAGCCAGGUAGGGGCAAUUUUUAUUUUGGAACAGAAUACUGACAGCUGCCUCUUUAUUUAGGGAACUAAAUAACGUAUUUACAAACCAAUCCUUUCUCUUUGUGCAGCCUACACAGAAUCGUUUUUGCUUGUUAUACAGAUCUUCAGAAAGCAGUUCUUCUGAAUCCUUUUUUGCAUGCACAAAUAAAUAAAGAGGAGUGCACUUUCUGAAGAAAUUGAUGCACUGAAAUGUGCGUUCGACACACACAGAGAUGCAAAAUAAACAACUUUAAAGUGGUAAAAAAAAA
This is a non-coding RNA of Dermacentor andersoni, 548 nucleotides long. The record is from RefSeq and is a predicted model, not a curated record. NCBI's taxonomy places the organism in Eukaryota, Metazoa, Arthropoda, Arachnida, Ixodida, Ixodidae.